RNAcentral lists this ribosomal RNA (440 nucleotides) under uncultured bacterium. RNAcentral describes it as "partial 16S ribosomal RNA". It matches the Rfam family "Bacterial small subunit ribosomal RNA", at positions 338 to 795 of the family's 1533-position model. The record is from RNAcentral.
CCUACGGGGGACUGCAGUGGGGAAUAUUGCACAAUGGGGGAAACCCUGAUGCAGCGACGCCGCGUGAGUGAAGAAGUAAUUCGGUAUGUAAAGCUCUAUCAGCAGGGAAGAAAAUGACGGUACCUGAGUAAGAAGCCCCGGCUAACUACGUGCCAGCAGCCGCGGUAAUACGGAGGGGGCAAGCGUUAUCCGGAUUUACUGGGUGUAAAGGGAGCGUAGAGGGCAGUGCAAGUCUGGAGUGAAAGGCGGGGGCUCAACCCCCGGACUGCUAUGGAAACUGUACGGCUGGAGUGCAGGAGAGGUAAGUGGAAUUCCUGGUGUAGCGGUGAAAUGCGUAGAUAUUAGGAGGAACACCAGUGGCGAAGGCGGCUUACUGGACUGUAACUGACGUUGAGGCUCGAAAGCGUGGGGAGCAAACAGGAUUAGAUACCCCGGUAGUC